This 76-nucleotide transfer RNA is filed under the name bacterium. RNAcentral's name for it is "tRNA-Phe". It matches the Rfam family "tRNA". Rfam says of the family: Transfer RNA (tRNA) molecules are approximately 80 nucleotides in length. Their secondary structure includes four short double-helical elements and three loops (D, anti-codon, and T loops). The record is from RNAcentral. RNAcentral also lists the same sequence under 6 other names.
GCUGAGGUAGCUCAGUUGGUAGAGCACGGCACUGAAAAUGCCGGUGUCCCCAGUUCGACCCUGGGCCUCAGCACCA